This 6845-nucleotide long non-coding RNA is filed under the name Malus domestica (apple). Its description in RNAcentral is "long non-coding RNA (MDOM_LNC005320)". The record is from RNAcentral. Lineage: Eukaryota; Viridiplantae; Streptophyta; Magnoliopsida; Rosales; Rosaceae.
AGGUUGGCCAGAACGUCGAGGCUCGUGAAGAAGGCAAUGACUGCCGUGGCUGCGAGUAAGGUGACCGUGGCAUUGACAGGAGUGCCGGUUUUGGAAUCAACUUGUGCAAACCAUGGUGGCACCAUGUGGGUUCGGGCAAUGUGAGUGAGGUACCGCGCCUGUCCAACUGCCCCGCCAAGCAGCGCGCUUGUCAUGCCUUCCAAUGCGCCCGCUGCCACAAGGUACUUAGCCCAUCCCAUCCCAACAGCUUGAAACGCAACCGGAAAUGCAGCUUGUUCGUCGAUUUGGUUAUAUGGCUGCAUAAGGCCUAAUGUGAGUGCAAGCAAGCAAUAGAGCACUGUAACAAUCACCAUUGAGCCGACAAGACCAAUUGGGAUGUCCUUUGCGGGAUUCUUGGUCUCCUCCGCCAUGGUUGAAACGGCAUCAAAUCCAACGUACGCGAAGAACACAACAGCCGACGCUUGGAACACGCCGCGCGGGCCAAAAGGGGCGAAAUCGAUGUAGUUUUUGGUAUCAGCUUUGGUGAGGCCGGCGAUGAUGAUGAAGACAAUGACAAUUAUAUGGAAAAUCGAGGCAAUGUAGUUGAGACGAGAAGAGCCCUUUAUGCUGAGGACUGCAAGGCAGCAGAUGCAAAUAAGGACAGCGACAGCAAUGGGAUCGAGGUACUUGUAGUCCUCUGGGAAACCGUGGGCUAUGAUGCGGAAAUCAUUGGUGUCGCUGCGGUUGCAGAGGGUGGUGAAGUAGGAUGUCCAGGAACGAGCAACGGCUGCGCCACUAAUGACGUACUCGAGGAGGAUGUUGCCUGCUGCAAUGAAGGCCACGAAGUCCCCAAGCUCCACCCUAAGGUAGGCAAAUGAGCCACCUGAAAAAUCAAAUUCAAUCUAAUUAUAUUAGGUGGGAACCUAAUUAAGUUGAUCUAACUUUAAAUGUUGUGAAAUUGUGGCGACACAAACCAACAAAUUACUACUUUAAUUACUUCGAAAUAUUAUAUUAGACAUAGCAAAAUAUAAUCAAUAGUUAAGGAUUCGAACUCGAGACGUUGAUACUUUUAGCCAGCUUAGUUGCAACGGGGUUCUUUCUAAUUGUUAUUUCUUAACCAUCAAUUAAAUGAAGAAAGAAAAGUCAGGGCAAUGCUUGAAUAUAUAUAUAUUUUUUUUGGGGACAAAAGCAAUGCUUCAAUUGAAUGCAUGUGUUAAGUUAAUAUAUCCAAAAUUUGAAAUAAAACAAUUUGUUUGUAGCUAAUCAACCGGAUAAUACUAGAAUUAAGUAUAAAUCUUGAAUACAUGAAAAAAAAGUCUAAAAUCUUGGAUAGGUGGUGGGGACAGAGUUGAAGAGAUUUGCGUGGAGGUCUACACUAUUGACUUCGAAUUUUUUAAGUAAACGUAAGCUCCCUGCCAGAUUUCCACCAGUCACCAUCUAAACAACUCCCCCACGGUUCCACCUCCAUGAUUCCAUAUUAACUUAGACUUUGUAUAAAACGUUGUGUAACUAAGCGAAAAUCAUACUGUACAUCUCAAGUUCAUAUCAAUACUGGAUUAUAUAAUGGGAGUUUUAUCGAAAAGUCCGUAGCAUUGUUCACUUUAACGAAAAAUCACAUUUUUACAUUAAAAAGUCACACUUGGUACUAUUCAUUUUACCAUUUAUUUUGUCCUUAUCGUUAAAACUCAAAGUCUUCAAACCAUUUUCAUUAGUUUUCCUUAAAAUAAUUGUGGAAGGGAUGUGACGGAAAGAAAAAGGGGAACAAUAUCGCGAACUUUUCGUUAAAACUCUCUUAUUUUAAACCGUUCAUGGUUGAAACAAGACGAUAAUGUGCAGGCAAAGGCUAGGGAGGGGAUUUUUAUUUAUUUUUUUUAUAAAAAUAGGAAUUAGUUGUGGGGUUCACAUCACAUUAAACUUUAACGAUCCGAAUCGUUUAUUUUUUAAGUUGUAUCUCAUAGAUCAUCCUUGCAAAAUAUUAGCCAAAUCGGAAAUAUUUAAGACGUCUAAUUGGAUUCAAAGAAAAGAACGAAUAUUUUGUUAUAUAAGAAAUAAUGAAAUUUGAUAUUGAUAAUUAAAUAGGUAAAUGAUUUCGAAUUGAAUUAAAUUUUUACAAAAAUGAUCUAUGAAUUAAGAUUUAUGAAAUAUAAUGUAUACAAGCCCUUUAUGCAAAAGAAUUCCAUUUUUUGAAAAAAAACAAGGAUUAGUUGUGGAGAGAGCCCCACACAUAAUUCCUAUUUUUUUUUUUUAAAUGAGGAUCCCUUUGAUAAAGUGUAUAUAUAUACACACAUAUAUAAAACAAUAAUAUUUAAAAAAUGCUCGAAUAUUUAGUAAGUGUGUAGCCGUACCUGCAACAGGAAUCUCGACGGCGAACUCGGUGUAACAGAAAACAGAGAGCAUGGCGGAGACGCCCGAGACGACGUACGACAGCACGAUGGCGGCGCCUGCGUGCCUUCUCGCCUCCAGUCCUGUGAGCGCGAAUAUUCCGGCGCCGAUGACAACGCCAAUUCCGAACCAGAUGAGGUCCCACCAGUUGAGCUUCUUCUUCAUCUCGUGAUGACUCCGCGCCUUCACCUCCACCAGCUCCGUGCUGUCCGCCGACCGGGAAAGGACGCGAUCCACGAACCGGAACGGAGUCUUCUUCAGCGCAUUGACGUAAUUGCCCCAGCUCUGAAACGACUCCUCGGGGAGAAAAUCGUCCUUUCGGUACGUGCAGCCUCUCCGCCGUAUCCCCUCAUCGUCUCCUCCGCCGCCCGCUCCCAUCUGUAAAAAUUCAAACUAAAAAAUUUCAGAAAAAUCGAAUUAUCAGAGAAAAUAAAUAAAUAAAAUCACACUAUGAUCCAGAGAGACUAAAUUCAAUCCCUUAAUUAGUUUCUGUUUGGCUGCCGAGAAAGAUGAGGAAAAUGAUUAGAUCCGUACCGUACGUCUGAUUUUGGCUUAUAAAUUAUUCUAGAGAGAGAGUGAGCGUCCGUUUUUCUCCGAUGACCGGCGGGGAGAGAGAGAGAGAGAGAGAGAGACGCGGGAAAGCUCGUUCAGCUGAGCAAGCAGUUAUAUAGGCCCACUUGGUUUACCGCUCAUUACUCAUGUGUUUAGAGCUGUUACACACUGUGACACUGGUCAACGAUGGAAUCUGAACCGUUGAUUUUUGUGUGUCAGAGAUUCACUCCAUUAACUGUUUUUAGUAACAUACUACAAACUAUUUCCAACCGUUAGAUUCAUCUCAGGCUUCAUCGACGGUCACUUGUUAUUUGAGACGAUUGUGAGCUGUUGGCUUGGUGAAUCUCCGGCUGAGAUUCACUUUAUUUAUGUGCUUAUGACCAAUUGAGGUUAUGUUUUUAAGGCGAUUGUAAGCCGUUUAUCAUUUUUUUAUCCCUUUUUUCAUCUAUCUACAUGUUUUUUUUUUAACAACUUGAAAAUUACAAAAAAAAAUAAUUUUCUUUUUCUGACAAUUAAACACUGUUAUAGGUACAUUUUAGCAUGCAUUUCUCUAUUUUAAUCAUUUAGGUCAUCAUAUAAUUCUAAUAAUUGAAAUAAUAGUUUACGAAUGAUAUUUUUCUACUACACCCAAGCAAGUCUUUAAUUAUAAUUCAUGAUUACAAAGUAAAGCUUCUAAAAACAAACAUUUUUCUACACUAAUACCAGUACUUUCUGUUAACCGCAAGAUAGAUCAUAAGCUUCAAGUUAGCUCUUUGAUCUUUCUCCUUGUUGGCUUCUUGUGCUUCAAACCUUUUGUAUACGAAAAGUUUAGCAACAAAUACAAAAACGCGUUAUAACCGUUAAAAAUAUUAUAAAUUUUACAUAUAUUAAAUUAAAUGGGUAAAUAGAUAUUUAUUAUAACCGUGGGUAAUACCCAUAAUCAAUGGAUACCCGUUAUAACCGCAGGUAAUACCCAUAACCGCCCAUUUAAAUUUCACGGAUAAACGGUUAUACCCAUAAUCGUUUGUUCAUCUAAACGGUUACACAAACUCAUGGGUAUUUUGCCCAUCCCUAGUUAGUAAUAUUGUGGUUCAACCUUUGGCUACGACUGAAGAAGAAUAUCACUAUAACGUAAUAUUCAGUGGCUACAACUUUGCUUGUUUGUCUAAUAUAUUUUUUUUUCUUUUUUUGGAAGUUUGGUUUUAUUUGGAAUUAUUUCACAUGGAAAUGUGAAGCUGGAAAUUUUUUAAAAUUUUUUAUUUUUAAUUUGAUAUUUUUCAAAUAAUUGUAUAGAGAGUGAUGCAGACGGGUAGGGACGUGAAUUUGGACAAGAUUCGGUAGUUUUUAAAACGAUGUCCUAAUUGGACGGCUGUGAUGCUACUCCUAAAAAAAAGGAAUUCCCAUAGUUGUCGUCACGUGGAUAGUGAUUACUGAGAACCCCACAAAUUUUUAUUUUGUCAAACGAUGAAUUUUGUUAGAUUAGAUAUUAGAUUAGCCACUCACGAGAUUCAAACUCAGGCCGUCAUGCAAGUAUUCAACAUCUUUUCACCACUGUGGUAAAGGGUCACUUGUAGUAAGAAUGUCACAUCCCGGUCCGGGUCCCCCACCACAUUCCGGGCUCGACUCCACUAUAGCACGAUAUUGUUCGCUUUGGGCCCCGACCACACCCUCACGGUUUUGUUUCUGGGAACUCACACGAGAACUUCCCAGUGGGUCACCCAUCAUGGGAAUGCUCUCGCGCGAACUCGCUUAACUUCAGAGUUCCAAUGGGUGAUCCAUUGGGAAGUUCUCGUGUGAGUUUCCAAAAACGACACCGUGAAAGCGUGAUCGGGGCUCAAAACGGACAAUAUCGUGUUAUGGUUGAGUCAAGCUCGAGAUGUGGUGGGGGCCCGAGCCGAGAUGUGACAGUCGAUCCCUGAAAUUGACGAAAGCUUCUUCUUGUUAAUAUGUGCAUGUUCACUUAGGAUGAAUACCACGUCUUAAGGGUUGCAUUGUUUUUCAGAGGGUUUUCACAAAACUUAAUGAGCAUGCAUGUUUAGAUUUGAUCUGAAUGCCACAAAUAGAUUGCAUGUUUGAUAUACGCUUUAUAUUGGGGGUCCAAGUAGGCAUAUAUUAGGAAAAUCUAGCCUUCAAAAUAUGCAUGUAUAGGUCAUAAGUAAUUAGGAGAACUACUUAGGAUUGUUAAGACGACGGCGAAACCCCAGUGCUUUCUGAAUUUGAUUUCUACUCUUUAAAAAUAAAUUCGUUUUUAUUAAAUUAGAUCAUAAAUCAAUCUUCCCAAAACUUUAGUUUUAAAUAAUUAAUUGAGAUUUGGUUUAAUACGAAUGAUUUAAUAAUCCCUGUGAAGAACGACUUUGCUAGAGCCAUCUAUACUACAAUAUCCUUGUUACUCUUGCAAGUAUUAUAAAUGUUUUUAACUCCUUUGCACGUGGUAAAAAUCCUAUCCACAAUUAACAUCGUCUUUUUUGAGGCCAUUUAAGUAGCUUUUAAUUGCCACAUAGUAUUACGGAUUAGUGUGGUAUUUCUCAACAAUUCUCUACCUAUUUUGUUGAUGCGAAUCCCUUUGCGAAUACAGGCCAUUCUCAAGUGUGCGAGAAUAUUUGGGUGCAUUGUAUUGCUACAGUAGCCUCCCUGGUCAGAUCAUAAAUUUUGGCCCGAUGGAGUUAGAUUGUCUACGUAUAAAAAGGUCGUACCCAGUGCACAAGGCUCCCGCUUUACGCAGGGUCUGGGAGAGGUGAAUGUCGGCUAGCCUUACCCCCAUUUAUGGAGAGGCUGCUCCCAAGUCUCGAACCCGAGACCUACCGCUCAUGGGCGAAGGCACUUGCCAUCGCACCAAGUGCGACCUCUAGAUUGUCUACGUAUCAUUUUGAAAAUAAAUAAACCCCUCUAGGUACAUUGUAAGAAAUAAAGUGAAUUGAGAAAGAAAGUUGUGGUGUAUCAAUAAAAGUAAAAUACUACGUACUUCAAAACAGAUUUAUAGACAACAUUUAAUUGUAAAUCACAUCUCUAAUAAGCAAGCUGAUAAAACUAAACAGCACUAAUCACACACAAACAAUUAAAUCUUCACACACAAAACAUACCCUUUCUUAACUAGCAGGAGGUGCAGAGGCAUUGCUACCAUUUCCAGCGUCUAAGCCGGCGUCCCUCGUGGCCACCCUUGCAGCUUGAACCUUCUUCAACUCAUCGUUUGUGCCGCCCUCCAGCCUCUUCGCUUCGGAGUCCUUUGCCGUGUCAUAAGACGCGUGCAAUCCGAAGAUGAAGUAGUAAACCAAGAUGAUCAGAGUCCACACUCCAAACCUUAUGAACGAGGCGUGAUCGAUUGACCCGAGCAGGAAAAUGUUGAUGGCAAUUGAAAGAGAUGGCAACCAUGGCACCAGUGGCACUCCCCAGAGCUUCGGACUCCUUGCUUGGGGGACAAGUAACCAAAUCCCUAAAGUACCCAAGAACCAAAGCGGCGCGGUUACCACGUAGGCAGUCCAAUCAUCUGUUCUACUCCAAUAGACAGAGGUGGCAAUUGAAGAGCUAAUUAUGAUGAAAAGGAAGGCAAUGAACUUGUUUCUGUUGGCCCGAGUUGUGACGCCGCUGACAUAGUAGCGGCGAACAAGGAGAGCGAUGGCAACAAGGCUGAAGAUGAACAGAGUGGAGAUGGAGAGAAGGUUGGCCAGAAUGUCAAGGCUUGUGAAGAAGGCAAUGAUUGCGGUGGCUGCAAGCAUGGUGACCGUGGCAUUGACAGGAGUGCCGGUUUUGUAAUCAACUUGCGCAAACCAUGGGGGCACCAUGUGGGUUCGGGCAAUGUGAGUGAGGUACCGCGCCUGUCCAACUGCCCCAACAAGCAGCACGCUUGUCAUGCCUUUCAAUGCACCCGCUGCCACAACGUACUUAGCCCAUCCCAUCCCAACAUCUUCAAACGCAACCGAAAAUGGAGCUUGUUUGUCGAUUUGGCCAUACGGCCG